Molecule: ribosomal RNA, 330 nt
Filed under: Triticum aestivum (bread wheat)
Lineage: Eukaryota; Viridiplantae; Streptophyta; Magnoliopsida; Poales; Poaceae
Description: partial small subunit ribosomal RNA
Source: RNAcentral
AUGGUGGACAUACCGUGGCUACUAGAUGGAGAUUUCAACGAAAUACUACAUCCCCAUGAAAAAGAAGGAGGUGUUGCACGGUCCCAACGUUGCAUGUAAACAUUCUUCGAUGCCCUUUCUGAUUGUGGUCUGGACGAACUUGGUUAGACAGGUGACAUCUUCUCUUGGCGAUGAGGGAAUAUACAAGAACGUCUAGAUCGGGCAACUAGCAACAUCCGAUGGGUAGAUACGUUUCCAGGAUUCAGUGUGUCGAAUGAGGACUUUGAUAAGUCUGACCACCGGCCGGUUCUUAUUGAUACUGAAUAUCAUCUUGGAAUACAGCUGACAUGA